Molecule: long non-coding RNA, 410 nt
Organism: Lolium perenne
Lineage: Eukaryota; Viridiplantae; Streptophyta; Magnoliopsida; Poales; Poaceae
Source: RefSeq, a predicted model, not a curated record
GCCCCAAGCCUGAUCAUCCACGUCUGCGAGUAAGGAAAUGGCAAGUUUCUAUCUGAAUCACCUGGCCGGUCUAGCUUAAGAAAAGAAGACACGAGAGAAGCUAGGCAGACGGACCAGACAUCUUGCACGAAACUUUAAUCCACUGAGUUCAGCCACCACAAGGAACAUAUAUGGCACCACUACCAAUAUAUUCUGCUACCGGUGUGUUGUAAAAUUAGUAAUAUAUGUAGUACCGCAAACUAUAUGUCCUACCAGAGUAUUGUAAAACUAAGUGCCUGGCUAUCCAUAUAUAUUGCUAUCUCAGUUAUUCUACUCCACCUGUCCGGACUUGCCGACAUAAUCUGUUAUCAUGGUACUGUAAUAUUACCUACUUCUAUAAUAUUAGUUGUCCUACUCUGUUUAUUGCAAUA